GGCCGGGCCCGGUGCACGGGUGUGGGCGUGAACCUGGUCAGGGCUUGACCGCAGCAGCCAUAAGCGUUCCGUGCCCGGUGCCGUCGGUGUCCUGGCCGCC
Molecule: signal recognition particle RNA, 100 nt
Filed under: Phycisphaerales bacterium
Lineage: Bacteria; Pseudomonadati; Planctomycetota; Phycisphaerae; Phycisphaerales
Description: signal recognition particle sRNA small type
Rfam family: Bacterial small signal recognition particle RNA
About the family: The signal recognition particle (SRP) is a universally conserved ribonucleoprotein involved in the co-translational targeting of proteins to membranes. Archaeal SRP consists of a 7S RNA and homologues of the eukaryotic SRP19 and SRP54 proteins. In most bacteria, the SRP consists of a 4.5S RNA and the Ffh protein (a homologue of the eukaryotic SRP54 protein).
Source: RNAcentral